GACGAACGCUGGCGGCGUGCUUAACACAUGCAAGUCGAACGGAAAGGCCCUGCUUGCCGGGUACUCGAGUGGCGAACGGGUGAGUAACACGUGGGUGAUCUGCCCUGCACUUCGGGAUAAGCCUGGGAAACUGGGUCUAAUACCGGAUAGGAGCCAUUUUUAGUGUGAUGGUUGGAAAGUUUUUUCGGUGUAGGAUGAGCUCGCGGCCUAUCAGCUUGUUGGUGGGGUAAUGGCCUACCAAGGCGGCGACGGGUAGCCGGCCUGAGAGGGUGGACGGCCAAGGGUGGCAUGAGGGGCGGCGCAGCGUGCGAGGGGGGGGAGCAGUGGGGUAUAGUGAAGAGGGGGCACAGGGCUGGUGCGGGGACGUCGGGUGGGGGAUGACGGCCUGAGGGUUGUAACUGCUUGUGGCUGGAGAUAAUGUGUGUUGUGAAGGUACAGAGAAAAGAAGCACCGCAAAAGGACGAGACAGCAGCCGCGGGAAUACUCGGAAGCGAAAACGUCUGAAC
RNAcentral lists this ribosomal RNA (506 nucleotides) under uncultured bacterium. RNAcentral's name for it is "partial 16S ribosomal RNA". It matches the Rfam family "Bacterial small subunit ribosomal RNA", at positions 34 to 540 of the family's 1533-position model. The record is from RNAcentral.